CUCAAACCCAUAAAAUGACUCAGCAUAUAUUUAUCCUAACAACUUAGGCUUGACAUGAAGCCUGAAUUAAUGAAGGUGGAAAUUUGUUAAAAAUAAAACAAAUUAGUGAACCCAAUUAUUACAAACCAAUAAUCAACAAACUUAGUAAAAAUUUUACACGAGACAAUCUUAUGUCAAUAGACCAGAUGAAGUAUAUUAGUUCCCAAAUAAGAACUCUUCAUUCUUUAUUCCUUUUCUGUUGUUCGGGCCCUGCUAUUUUUUCAAAUUUCAUUCAAAAACAAAGAUGCUUCUUUUCCACUCAACUAGCUUGAACAUUUUAAAAUCCAAACACCACUCGUAAUUAAAUGACAUGCAUAUUGCAGUAUGUUUUAAGUGUUAAGAUCAUCCCAAUACAGUAAGAAAUCUAACCAAACAAAUCAAAACCAUAUGAGUAAAAUAAACAAAACAACAUGAACAAUCUUGUAUAGAUCUAUGUUAAAUUCACACACUGGCAUUUUAAAUCACAUCUAACAUAGCAUGACAUUUGAACAUGAAAGUGAAUAAUUAUUGCAAAUUUCAUAACAUAAGAUUAUUCAAGCAAUAUUUACAUCAUUGGAAGUGUGAAACUCAUACCUUGACAGCAGUAAUAGCAAAAGAAACCAAGAAAAAAUAGAAGAAGAGCUUUCUGAAUCAUGAAAAAGAAACGAGCAGCAACAAGCAAUCAACAAUCGAGUGAGCUUGGGUCCCAAAACUGAAGGUUCGACCACAAUACAAACAAAACCAAAGCAAGAAGGAGUGACUAAUUAACUCGAAUAGCCAUGAAGAAAACCAAAAUUCUGUUCUUAAACCUCCGAAACUCCCAGCAAAGACCUCAAAAAAAUAGAAGGAAACUCAAAAAUUUCUUAAGAAUCCUUUUGAAAAAUUGGUUUUCAUCCAUUUGUGUUUUUUCUAUCCUUUUUUCUGUGCCCUAAUUAUUGGCAAGAGGGUCCUUUUAUAGAAGGAAUUUUAGGGCUAUC
Molecule: long non-coding RNA, 995 nt
Filed under: Nicotiana tabacum (common tobacco)
Lineage: Eukaryota; Viridiplantae; Streptophyta; Magnoliopsida; Solanales; Solanaceae
Description: long non-coding RNA (NTAB_LNC016030)
Source: RNAcentral